UUCCUGGUGGUCCAAUGGCUAAGACUCUGCACUCCCAAUGGAGGGGGCCUGGGUUCAAUCCCUGGUCAGGGAA
This 73-nucleotide transfer RNA is filed under the name Ovis aries (sheep). It matches the Rfam family "tRNA". From Rfam's summary of the family: Transfer RNA (tRNA) molecules are approximately 80 nucleotides in length. Their secondary structure includes four short double-helical elements and three loops (D, anti-codon, and T loops). Further hydrogen bonds mediate the characteristic L-shaped molecular structure. tRNAs have two regions of fundamental functional importance: the anti-codon, which is responsible for specific mRNA codon recognition, and the 3' end, to which the tRNAs corresponding amino acid is attached (by aminoacyl-tRNA synthetases). tRNAs cope with the degeneracy of the genetic code in two manners: having more than one tRNA (with a specific anti-codon) for a particular amino acid; and 'wobble' base-pairing, i.e. permitting non-standard base-pairing at the 3rd anti-codon position. Lineage: Eukaryota; Metazoa; Chordata; Mammalia; Artiodactyla; Bovidae. The record is from Rfam by way of RNAcentral.